This 492-nucleotide ribosomal RNA is filed under the name uncultured bacterium. Its description in RNAcentral is "partial 16S ribosomal RNA". It matches the Rfam family "Bacterial small subunit ribosomal RNA", at positions 28 to 507 of the family's 1533-position model. The record is from RNAcentral.
GAUGAACGCUAGCUACAGGCUUAACACAUGCAAGUCGAGGGGAAACGACAUCGAAAGCUUGCUUUUGAUGGGCGUCGACCGGCGCACGGGUGAGUAACGCGUAUCCAACCUGCCCAUCACUUGGGAAUAACCUUGCGAAAGUAAGACUAAUACCCAAUGAUAUCCCACGAAGGCAUCGGAAUGGGAUUAAAGAUUUAUCGGUGAUGGAUGGGGAUGCGUCUGAUUAGCUUGUUGGCGGGGUAACGGCCCACCAAGGCAACGAUCAGUAGGGGUUCUGAGAGGAAGGUCCCCCAGAAUGGAACUGAGACACGGUCCAAACUCCUACGGGAGGCAGCAGUGAGGAAUAUUGGGCAAUGGGCGAGAGCCUGAACCAGCCAAGUAGCGUGCAGGAAGACGGCCAUAUGGGUUGUAAACUGCUUUUAUAAGGGAAUAAAGUGGGUCACGUGUGACUUUUUGCAUGUACCUUAUGAAUAAGGACCGGCUAAUUCCGUG